This 1226-nucleotide long non-coding RNA is filed under the name Musa acuminata (dwarf banana). RNAcentral's name for it is "long non-coding RNA (MACU_LNC009683)". Lineage: Eukaryota; Viridiplantae; Streptophyta; Magnoliopsida; Zingiberales; Musaceae. The record is from RNAcentral.
GAGGAGGGAAGAAGAAGAGGAGAAGAAGAAAAGAAAGGAAGAAGGGAAGGAGAGGAAGAAGAGAAGGGAAAGAAGGGGCUGCGGCUGCGGCGAUGGCAGCUACAGUUGGAAGAGAAGAAGGAGAGGAAGAUGAGCAGGGGAGGAAGAAGAGGUUGUGGUCGUGGCUGCGGCCGCGACUGCAGCAGUUGCAGCUGGGAAAAAAGAGAAGGAAAGGAAGGAGAAGAGAAAGGGAAGGAGAGGAAGAAGAGAGGAAGAGGAGAAGGGGUGGCAGCAGCAGCUGGAAGAGAAGGAGAGGAAGUAGAGCAGGAGAGGAAGAAGAGGCUGCGGUUGUGGUGGCUGCGGCCAUGGCUGCGACUGCGACUGCGACUGCGACUGCGACAGUUGCAGCUGGGAAAGAAAAGAAAGGAAAGGGGGAAAAAGGGGCUGCGGACGGGAUUGCGGCCGCAGCGGCAGCGACUGCGUAUGCAACAGUUAUGUCUGCGAGAGAAGAGAGGAAGGAAGGUAGUGCGGUGGAAGGGGCUGCGAUUGUGGCAGCGGCAGCGGCGGCGGCUGUGGCAGCUGCGUUUGGGAAAGAAAAAGAAGGAAUGAGAGUAAGAGAGAGCAGGUGACUGUGCCUCGAUGUUCGACACGUGGUGUAGUUGCGAAGAAAGGAAGAAAACGGGAACACAAAACGAAACAGAGAGAGGACACGGAGGAAAAGUAGAAGGAUUUGGGCUGGCACCUUCUUUGGAUCUUCAGAUCGAAAUCUUUGAAAGGCAAGUUUCCCGCUUGUUUCGAUCCUUUCUAUUGCAAAUGUUUCGAUCCUUUCUAUUGCAAGUUCCCUGAUCGUUUCUCCUAUAAUUGCUCUGAUAUGUCUUAUUGCAAGUAUCCUGAUCUUUCCUCACUGCCAUUUUUAUCUCUACAUUUGCUUUGAAUAUGAGGAACUUUGAAUUGUUCUAGCCUUGCAUUUGUUAUAUCUCCUGUUUAGACGUAACGAUUCGAAUCUGUGCAACUUUUGAGAUUCUGACCUUUUGAUACCGAGCUGCCUAUUAGUCUUUGUUGGAAACUCUGAUUUGUUCAAAAGUGAUUUCAUUGGAAACUAAACUUGUAGACCUUUCUUUGAUAUAUGGAUUGAAAGAUUUGGAAUCCAAACACCUGGCCAGUUAUCUGUUGAAUCUGACAUUAUGAAUUCUGCCAACAGAGAUUUUGUUCUACGACUCUUGCUUACCAAAUCAUUUGUAANNNNN